AACUUUCAACAACGGAUCUCUUGGUUCUGGCAUCGAUGAAGAACGCAGCGAAAUGCGAUAAGUAAUGUGAAUUGCAGAAUUUAGUGAAUCAUCGAAUCUUUGAACGCACAUUGCGCCCACCGGUAUUCCGAUGGGCAUGCACGUUCGAGCGUC
Molecule: ribosomal RNA, 153 nt
Filed under: uncultured fungus
Lineage: Eukaryota; Fungi
Description: 5.8S ribosomal RNA
Rfam family: 5.8S ribosomal RNA
About the family: 5.8S ribosomal RNA (5.8S rRNA) is a component of the large subunit of the eukaryotic ribosome.
Source: RNAcentral